GCCACCCAGGUGCCCCAGUGCCUGUUCAUUUAAAGAUCUCUCUCCACUUUCUUCAUUAACUCAUUCCAAUGUUGAAACUGGUGUUGCUCAGAAAUAUUCUUUUCGAAAUGAAUCAUGCUCAUUUGAAAAUUUUUUUACCCUUGUGCCACUCCUAGUAGAGAGAAAAAAAAAUGCUGGCAGAGUAUAUAAUGGCAUAUUGACAUUGCAAUAUGCCGGGAUCAACGGGCUAGAAGCCAAGACCUGCCAGGCCCACUUUCUCCAUGGUUCACUCUAUUUCUGUUUGAGGACCACAUCCUUCCAUUAACCUAACAGUCCGAGUCUUAGAACCAUCACGGCCUCUUGAGUGAGAACUCUUGAAAACUGACUCUCAUGUUCCCUAUUUUCAGGUUUCCUGACCCGGGAGGGCAAAGGCUGAUGGCUAAGUGAGGUAGAAGCAAGGCUAGUCCUGCCUGAUUUGUGCUAAACCCCAGACAGGGAGUUGUGAGCCACUGUCACUCAUUUACCAGCGAUUUUCUUUCUUUUUUUUUUUUUUUUACCAGCGAUUUUCAAACGUUGUAAAAAUUGGUCAACCUAAACAGGGCAGAAGACUUACAGCACCAGUUCCUACUUUACAGAGAAAAAGAAAUUGGGGAUAACAAAGAUUUGGAGAGGAACAAAACAGCAAUCAAAAUGAUAAUACGUAGGAGUGCCUGGCUGACUCAGUCAGUGGAAUGAGCGGCUCUGUCUCGGAGAUGAAACCUUCCCUGCUCACUGUGAAUGAUUUCCUAAGGAUCAAUACCAGCUACCAUUCGAAGGCUUGCUACCCAUGGACUGGGCCCUUCACAUAUGCUCGUUACCUGCCAAAACCUCACUCAACCCUGCAAGGUAAGGAGCAGGCACACCUUUUUAUAGAUUUUUCAAAAGCAAGUUGUGGUGUUGUUGUUUUUAUAACGUUAGUUUUUUAAAUUUUUUUAAAGAUUUUAUUUAUUUAUUUGACACAGAGAGAGACUGUGAGAGCAGGAACACAAGCAGGGGGAAUGGGAGUGGAAAAGCAGGGGGAGGGGGAGAGGGAAAGCACACUGCCCACAGAGAACCUGAGGUGGCGCUGCAUCCCAGGACCCUGGGAUCGUGAGCUGAGCCAAAGGCGUUUGCUUAACCCACUGAGCCACCCAGGCGCCUGAGAACAAGGUUUUUGAGCAACAAGGCCACAACACGGAAAGUGAUGGAGCGGGGACUCCGCUCUGGACCAUCUGGCCUCGGCACCCAGGGCGCAUCCGGGCCCAGCAUGCAUCCCACGGGGCGUUCGGUGUUGGGCCGGUGCUCUGCCGCCCCACUCUGCUCCUGCCCUGACGCGGAGUGCGAAACGCCGGGGACUGGACGCUGCCGCCUCCUCUUCCCAGCCAGCUCUUCCGCUUAGGAUGAGUUUAGGGCUUAAGCUUGGCACUUUCUUCUCUUUAUUGGUUUAAAAAAUCGUUAAAAAAAAAAAAAUCGAAACUAGUACAUUGUUUAACAAUCCAAAAAAUCGAAAACAGAAGUGAAAAAUGUCCCGUACUUCAUGUUUCAUUUCCGGGCCCCAACCCUACUCUCCAGAUAGAACUAGUAUUAAUUGUUUUGACUUUCCCAUAUGUAUAUAAAUGCGCAAAUGAGGGGCCAGGAUGGCUCAUUCCGUGAAGCCUCUGACUUGGGCUCGAGUCAUGGCCUCAGGGUCAUGGGAUCCAGCCCCAGCUCCGCACUGGGCCACUGGUGGGGCGACCUACUCAGCGGGGAGUCGGCUUCGCCCUCUGCUCCUCCUCCCAGCUCCUGCUUUCUCA
This 1790-nucleotide long non-coding RNA is filed under the name Mustela putorius furo (domestic ferret). Its description in RNAcentral is "lncRNA (ENSMPUG00000031383.1)". The record is from RNAcentral. Lineage: Eukaryota; Metazoa; Chordata; Mammalia; Carnivora; Mustelidae.